RNAcentral lists this unclassified non-coding RNA (579 nucleotides) under Centaurea benedicta. RNAcentral's name for it is "partial external transcribed spacer". Lineage: Eukaryota; Viridiplantae; Streptophyta; Magnoliopsida; Asterales; Asteraceae. The record is from RNAcentral.
UGGCUUAAUCUUUGAGACAAGCAUAUGACUACUGGCAGGAUCAACCAGGUAGCAUUCCUCUUCGACGUAGCCCACCAUGAACAAACAAGCCGUAACAUGGUAGGCAAUCGUUUAGAGAAGCAAGAACGCUUAACAAGGGCAUAUUGAAUAUCUUAUGAAGACCCAAGCCCACAUCAGGUUCCGUAUACAAGAGACCAAACGAUUCAUCAUUAGCCACAUCGUUGUUGCAAACGCAACAACAACAUGGAUCACAAAGACCGUUUCAUUGUGCAUCCCACGCCGCAUGAACGACGCAUGAACGAAAAGGAAAACCGUAAACCCACACGUUACCGUCAAUUAGGUAUGCAACACAGGAAACCCACAAUAUGCGCAAGACAAAGCAAGUCUUUACGCAAAACUGAAGAGGUAAGCAGCAUGGACGUUGGUGCGCGAGCAAACAGCCAUCCACACGUAACAAACCAAACACCACUCAUGCACCUCCCCGGUAGACAUUCCCGAAAGCCGCCCAACUAGUAGCCACCCACCCAACCAAAAGGCCAAGCAAGCAACCAAAAGCCAAAACAGCCCCCAGAAUGCACC